AUCGGAUUUACUGGGCGUAAAGCGUGCGUAGGCGGCUUUUUAAGUCGGAUGUGAAAUCCCUGAGCUUAACUUAGGAAUUGCAUUCGAUACUGGGAAGCUAGAGUAUGGGAGAGGAUGGUAGAAUUCCAGGUGUAGCGGUGAAAUGCGUAGAGAUCUGGAGGAAUACCGAUGGCGAAGGCAGCCAUCUGGCCUAAUACUGACGCUGAGGUACGAAAGCAUGGGGAGCAAACAGGAUUAGAUACCCUGGUAGUCCAUGCCGUAAACGAUGUCUACUAGCCGUUGGGGCCUUUGAGGCUUUAGUGGCGCAGCUAACGCGAUAAGUAGACCGCCUGGGGAGUACGGUCGCAAGACUAAAACUCAAAUGAAUUGACGGGGGCCCGCACAAGCGGUGGAGCAUGUGGUUUAAUUCGAUGCAACGCGAAGAACCUUACCUGGUCUUGACAUAGUAAGAACUUUCCAGAGAUGGAUUGGUGCCUUCGGGAACUUACAUACAGGUGCUGCAUGGCUGUCGUCAGCUCGUGUCGUGAGAUGUUGGGUUAAGUCCCGCAACGAGCGCAACCCUUUUCCUUAUUUGCCAGCGGGUUAAGCCGGGAACUUUAAGGAUACUGCCAGUGACAAACUGGAGGAAGGCGGGGACGACGUCAAGUCAUCAUGGCCCUUACGACCAGGGCUACACACGUGCUACAAUGGUCGGUACAAAGGGUUGCUACCUAGCGAUAGGAUGCUAAUCUCAAAAAGCCGAUCGUAGUCCGGAUUGGAGUCUGCAACUCGACUCCAUGAAGUCGGAA
Molecule: ribosomal RNA, 788 nt
Filed under: uncultured Acinetobacter sp.
Lineage: Bacteria; Pseudomonadati; Pseudomonadota; Gammaproteobacteria; Moraxellales; Moraxellaceae
Description: bacterial SSU rRNA
Rfam family: Bacterial small subunit ribosomal RNA
Source: RNAcentral